UGCGCCUACGGGGCGCAGCAGUGAGGAAUAUUGGUCAAUGGGCGCGAGCCUGAACCAGCCGAGUAGCGUGAAGGAUGACUGCCCUACGGGUUGUAAACUUCUUUUAUAAAGGAAUAAAGUGAGGCACGUGUGCCUUUUUGUAUGUACUUUAUGAAUAAGGAUCGGCUAACUCCGUGCCAGCAGCCGCGGUAAUACGGAGGAUCCGAGCGUUAUCCGGAUUUAUUGGGUUUAAAGGGUGCGUAGGCGGAAGGUUAAGUCAGCGGUCAAAUGUCGGUGCUCAACACCGGCCUGCCGUUGAAACUGGU
This 305-nucleotide ribosomal RNA is filed under the name uncultured bacterium. RNAcentral's name for it is "bacterial SSU rRNA". It matches the Rfam family "Bacterial small subunit ribosomal RNA", at positions 335 to 637 of the family's 1533-position model. The record is from RNAcentral.